This 253-nucleotide ribosomal RNA is filed under the name uncultured bacterium. Its description in RNAcentral is "partial 16S ribosomal RNA". It matches the Rfam family "Bacterial small subunit ribosomal RNA", at positions 524 to 776 of the family's 1533-position model. The record is from RNAcentral.
UACGAAGGGUGCAAGCGUUAAUCGGAAUUACUGGGCGUAAAGCGUGCGUAGGUGGUCUUUUAAGUCCGUUGUGAAAGCCCUGGGCUCAACCUGGGAAUGGCAGUGGAUACUGGAAGGCUGGAGUACGGUAGAGGAGGGUGGAAUUCCCGGUGUAGCGGUGAAAUGCGCAGAUAUCAGGAGGAACACCGGUGGCGAAGGCGGCGCUCUGGGCCGGAACUGACGCUGAGGAGCGAAAGCGUGGGGAGCAAACAGG